ACAAACUCUUUCUUAAAAAAAAUGUUGAUAAACAUAAAAAUAGAUUAGAAUAUUAAUUUAGAGGCCAUUGUGGAGUCCAAUUUCAACACGUAAAUUUAAUUUGUUCAUCUAAAAGUGGCAAAAACCAACAAUAAAAUCUACCAAAUGUAUUUCUAACAAAAUAAAUAAAUUGAAGCGUUUCUCACUCACCCAGACCAAACUGGAAUCAUCGAAAAUUCCCAUCAAAGUGUACAAAUAUUGCAGUCGCCGCAUUCACACAAAGGACCCUCGAACUGCCACUUUUUCCAUGUCCUGCCCACAGGCACAUUAGCCGCAACGGAUGUUGGCCUUUUCAUGCUCAGUUGGGCACAAAGGAGCGGGGUUUUGGCCAAAGGAAAGAAAUGUUUUUUGGGCAAACAAGUGGGCAGUCGACUGACACUGACCGUCGACCGUCGACCGAACCGAAAUGUCAAUAAAUUCAUAUGAAGUUAUCUCUUCCA
This is a long non-coding RNA of Drosophila rhopaloa, 479 nucleotides long. RefSeq lists it as uncharacterized. The record is from RefSeq and is a predicted model, not a curated record. The transcript has 2 exons. NCBI's taxonomy places the organism in Eukaryota, Metazoa, Arthropoda, Insecta, Diptera, Drosophilidae.